RNAcentral lists this ribosomal RNA (372 nucleotides) under uncultured bacterium. Its description in RNAcentral is "bacterial SSU rRNA". The stretch from base 1 to 319 matches the Rfam family "Bacterial small subunit ribosomal RNA", at positions 1011 to 1332 of the family's 1533-position model. The record is from RNAcentral.
GCUAUUUCUUCGGACUUCUUACAAGGUGCUGCAUGGUUGUCGUCAGCUCGUGCCGUGAGGUGUCAGGUUAAGUCCUAUAACGAGCGCAACCCUUGUCGUUAGUUGCCAGCAUGUAAAGAUGGGGACUCUAACGAGACUGCCGGUGUAAACCGCGAGGAAGGUGGGGAUGACGUCAAAUCAUCACGGCCCUUACGUCCUGGGCUACACACGUGCUACAAUGGUAUGGACAAUGAGCAGCCACUAUGCGAAUAGGAGCGAAUCUACAAACCAUAUCACAGUUCGGAUCGGAGUCUGCAACUCGACUCCGUGAAGCUGGAAUAAUCACUAGUGAAUUCGCGGCCGCCUGCAGGUCGACCAUAUGGGAGAGCUCCC